UUAAGCGACUAAGCGUACACGGUGGAUGCCCUGGCAGUCAGAGGCGAUGAAGGACGUGCUAAUCUGCGAUAAGCGUCGGUAAGGUGAUAUGAACCGUUAUAACCGGCGAUUUCCGAAUGGGGAAACCCAGUGUGUUUCGACACACUAUCAUUAACUGAAUCCAUAGGUUAAUGAGGCGAACCGGGGGAACUGAAACAUCUAAGUACCCCGAGGAAAAGAAAUCAACCGAGAUUCCCCCAGUAGCGGCGAGCGAACGGGGAGCAGCCCAGAGCCUGAAUCAGUGUGUGUGUUAGUGGAAGCGUCUGGAAAGGCGCGCGAUACAGGGUGACAGCCCCGUACACAAAAAUGCACAUACUGUGAGCUCGAUGAGUAGGGCGGGACACGUGGUAUCCUGUCUGAAUAUGGGGGGACCAUCCUCCAAGGCUAAAUACUCCUGACUGACCGAUAGUGAACCAGUACCGUGAGGGAAAGGCGAAAAGAACCCCGGCGAGGGGAGUGAAAAAGAACCUGAAACCGUGUACGUACAAGCAGUGGGAGCACGCUUAGGCGUGUGACUGCGUACCUUUUGUAUAAUGGGUCAGCGACUUAUAUUCUGUAGCAAGGUUAACCGAAUAGGGGAGCCGAAGGGAAACCGAGUCUUAACUGGGCGUUAAGUUGCAGGGUAUAGACCCGAAACCCGGUGAUCUAGCCAUGGGCAGGUUGAAGGUUGGGUAACACUAACUGGAGGACCGAACCGACUAAUGUUGAAAAAUUAGCGGAUGACUUGUGGCUGGGGGUGAAAGGCCAAUCAAACCGGGAGAUAGCUGGUUCUCCCCGAAAGCUAUUUAGGUAGCGCCUCGUGAAUUCAUCUCCGGGGGUAGAGCACUGUUUCGGCAAGGGGGUCAUCCCGACUUACCAACCCGAUGCAAACUGCGAAUACCGGAGAAUGUUAUCACGGGAGACACACGGCGGGUGCUAACGUCCGUCGUGAAGAGGGAAACAACCCAGACCGCCAGCUAAGGUCCCAAAGUCAUGGUUAAGUGGGAAACGAUGUGGGAAGGCCCAGACAGCCAGGAUGUUGGCUUAGAAGCAGCCAUCAUUUAAAGAAAGCGUAAUAGCUCACUGGUCGAGUCGGCCUGCGCGGAAGAUGUAACGGGGCUAAACCAUGCACCGAAGCUGCGGCAGCGACGCUUAUGCGUUGUUGGGUAGGGGAGCGUUCUGUAAGCCUGCGAAGGUGUGCUGUGAGGCAUGCUGGAGGUAUCAGAAGUGCGAAUGCUGACAUAAGUAACGAUAAAGCGGGUGAAAAGCCCGCUCGCCGGAAGACCAAGGGUUCCUGUCCAACGUUAAUCGGGGCAGGGUGAGUCGACCCCUAAGGCGAGGCCGAAAGGCGUAGUCGAUGGGAAACAGGUUAAUAUUCCUGUACUUGGUGUUACUGCGAAGGGGGGACGGAGAAGGCUAUGUUGGCCGGGCGACGGUUGUCCCGGUUUAAGCGUGUAGGCUGGUUUUCCAGGCAAAUCCGGAAAAUCAAGGCUGAGGCGUGAUGACGAGGCACUACGGUGCUGAAGCAACAAAUGCCCUGCUUCCAGGAAAAGCCUCUAAGCAUCAGGUAACAUCAAAUCGUACCCCAAACCGACACAGGUGGUCAGGUAGAGAAUACCAAGGCGCUUGAGAGAACUCGGGUGAAGGAACUAGGCAAAAUGGUGCCGUAACUUCGGGAGAAGGCACGCUGAUAUGUAGGUGAAGUCCCUCGCGGAUGGAGCUGAAAUCAGUCGAAGAUACCAGCUGGCUGCAACUGUUUAUUAAAAACACAGCACUGUGCAAACACGAAAGUGGACGUAUACGGUGUGACGCCUGCCCGGUGCCGGAAGGUUAAUUGAUGGGGUUAGCGCAAGCGAAGCUCUUGAUCGAAGCCCCGGUAAACGGCGGCCGUAACUAUAACGGUCCUAAGGUAGCGAAAUUCCUUGUCGGGUAAGUUCCGACCUGCACGAAUGGCGUAAUGAUGGCCAGGCUGUCUCCACCCGAGACUCAGUGAAAUUGAACUCGCUGUGAAGAUGCAGUGUACCCGCGGCAAGACGGAAAGACCCCGUGAACCUUUACUAUAGCUUGACACUGAACAUUGAGCCUUGAUGUGUAGGAUAGGUGGGAGGCUUUGAAGUGUGGACGCCAGUCUGCAUGGAGCCGACCUUGAAAUACCACCCUUUAAUGUUUGAUGUUCUAACGUGGACCCGUAAUCCGGGUUGCGGACAGUGUCUGGUGGGUAGUUUGACUGGGGCGGUCUCCUCCUAAAGAGUAACGGAGGAGCACGAAGGUUGGCUAAUCCUGGUCGGACAUCAGGAGGUUAGUGCAAUGGCAUAAGCCAGCUUGACUGCGAGCGUGACGGCGCGAGCAGGUGCGAAAGCAGGUCAUAGUGAUCCGGUGGUUCUGAAUGGAAGGGCCAUCGCUCAACGGAUAAAAGGUACUCCGGG
Molecule: ribosomal RNA, 2444 nt
Filed under: Escherichia coli p0305293.1
Lineage: Bacteria; Pseudomonadati; Pseudomonadota; Gammaproteobacteria; Enterobacterales; Enterobacteriaceae
Description: bacterial LSU rRNA
Rfam family: Bacterial large subunit ribosomal RNA
Source: RNAcentral